This 465-nucleotide ribosomal RNA is filed under the name Vreelandella stevensii. RNAcentral describes it as "partial 16S ribosomal RNA". It matches the Rfam family "Bacterial small subunit ribosomal RNA", at positions 338 to 795 of the family's 1533-position model. Lineage: Bacteria; Pseudomonadati; Pseudomonadota; Gammaproteobacteria; Oceanospirillales; Halomonadaceae. The record is from RNAcentral.
CCUACGGGGGGCAGCAGUGGGGAAUAUUGGACAAUGGGGGCAACCCUGAUCCAGCCAUGCCGCGUGUGUGAAGAAGGCCCUCGGGUUGUAAAGCACUUUCAGUGAGGAAGAACGCCUGGUGGUUAAUACCCAUCAGGAAAGACAUCACUCACAGAAGAAGCACCGGCUAACUCCGUGCCAGCAGCCGCGGUAAUACGGAGGGCGCGAGCGUUAAUCGGAAUUACUGGGCGUAAAGCGCGCGUAGGUGGCUUGAUAAGCCGGUUGUGAAAGCCCCGGGCUCAACCUGGGAACGGCAUCCGGAACUGUCAAGCUAGAGUGCAGGAGAGGAAGGUAGAAUUCCCGGUGUAGCGGUGAAAUGCGUAGAGAUCGGGAGGAAUACCAGUGGCGAAGGCGGCCUUCUGGACUGACACUGACACUGAGGUGCGAAAGCGUGGGUAGCAAACAGGAUUAGAUAGCCUGGUAGUC